Molecule: long non-coding RNA, 1592 nt
Filed under: Pelobates cultripes (western spadefoot toad)
Lineage: Eukaryota; Metazoa; Chordata; Amphibia; Anura; Pelobatidae
Source: RNAcentral
AAGAGAGCAACAUUUACAUUUUCAGCGGUCCAACACAUGCUUUAUUUUGCGCUGUAAACUAACCUUUUUAUUGCAACAGGUUCCUUUUAAAUGAUCCAGUGUAAUAACUACUGCUUGUGUCUUCUAUGUCUCACAUUAUGUGUUCUUUUAAAUUGUGGUAUAUAGCCUGAAUCAGAAAUCAUGGACAAAGGUUUUUACCUGUGUUACUAAGGGCUCUUGGAGACUGACCGGUCUAAAGGUUUGCCAUGCCUUUAAAACAUGGUAUAGUAUAAAUUUUUUAAGUCUCUGAGAGUUCUGAAAGAUUCAGGUGAAACCAUGUCUGUUUAAUCUGGUCCAGAUGUUUGCAAAAAAUUUCUGUAAGAUUUAAGUUGAUGCAGCAUCAUCUCAGAUUAGUUAAUGGAAGUUUUAUACAAAUAUUUGAGUUAUGAGCGCGCUAUAUAAAUGGAUCCUUUCUUUAAAUACAAUACUAUAGUAGAUUAAAGUAAUGAAGUUAAUUAAGAAAAUGUACACAUAAGAAGCCCUAAAAUAAAUCUAAACUAAAAUUGGUAUACCUUCCAAUAAUGUCCUGAAUACAGCUGUUAACUGUUUAUUCUGUGUAAAUGGUGACUGUGAUAAUGUGUGAUAAGUGUGCAGUUAAACUUGAAAGUGGUUUAAUUUAUAUGUUGCUGUAUUGUUUUAAAUUAUAUGUGAAUCAGUUUGUCACAGUCUAGUGAUACUGAUAAGAAUGACAGCCAAAUAACCUAGCAAAUAACUGUUUUAUUAGUUGUUGAAUACUAGCGUUUUGGCCAAGAAUAGUUGGAGAUUUGGAGGUGUUAGUUUAAGAUUGCUUUUAUAUUGUGUGUAUCCGUGUUUCCUAGGAGGGAGACAGAGUGUGUAGUUGUGUGCCCAUAAAUGUGAUUUCUGUAUUGGCAUAUCUGCUGGGUACCCAUUAUGUGUUUCUACAAAGAUAUUGUUUUAUGAGAUGACUAAUAUUACAUGGGAUGCUGAGUAUGAGUUAUAUGGUUUGAAAUGAAUUGGUGAUUAUGAGCUUAGUACUUCAGUAAGAUGUGCUAAAAUUUGGAACAAGGUGGAAGCUGAAAUGUUGGGAUUAUGGAAGAAUAAGCAGUCUAUAUUCACUGCUUUGGCAUAUAAGCAAGAUGCAAAGGAAGAGAUUGGUAAUAUGAUUUUUGUAAAGAAAUUUUACAAGUGUUGGAAGGAUGAGGCAGGUUUGAUGUCUGGAGAUGAUAUAGAUAUCUUUAAAAUACAGUCAUGCCUUGGUAAUAUGUUGCCACAGUAUUCUUUGCUUGUGAAACAAUUGAUUUCAGACUGGGACAAUUUGGAUAGCUCAGAUUUUCUUACCAAGGUUAUAGAAAAGGAAAAUGCAGGUUGUUUUGAAUUAAGAAAAGAUUUAGGAAAGUAAGGUUGCUUAUUAUGCUCAGGGAUUGCAACAUAUUAUGUCCAGCUACACAGGAUGAGAGCAAGGAUGGGAUGGAGCACAUAAAGCCCGUGGAAGGGGUGGUCAAAGAGGGGCAAGGGGAUGGAGACAGGGAAAUCAGGGUUAUAGGGGCAGGGGUAACCAAGGAGGAAUAGACAGGAACACUUGUUUCAACUGU